UACGUAGGGUGCAAGCGUUAAUCGGAAUUACUGGGCGUAAAGCGUGCGCAGGCGGUUGUGCAAGUCAGGUGUGAAAUCCCCGGGCUUAACCUGGGAACUGCACUUGUGACUGCACAGCUGGAGUACGGCAGAGGGGGAUGGAAUUCCGCGUGUAGCAGUGAAAUGCGUAGAUAUGCGGAGGAACACCGAUGGCGAAGGCAGUCCCCUGGGCCUGCACUGACGCUCAUGCACGAAAGCGUGGGGAGCAAACAGG
RNAcentral lists this ribosomal RNA (253 nucleotides) under uncultured bacterium. RNAcentral's name for it is "partial 16S ribosomal RNA". It matches the Rfam family "Bacterial small subunit ribosomal RNA", at positions 524 to 776 of the family's 1533-position model. The record is from RNAcentral.